This 330-nucleotide long non-coding RNA is filed under the name Elaeis guineensis (African oil palm). Its description in RNAcentral is "long non-coding RNA (EGUI_LNC051330)". Lineage: Eukaryota; Viridiplantae; Streptophyta; Magnoliopsida; Arecales; Arecaceae. The record is from RNAcentral.
UAUGGCCUUCUUCAGAGCGUCCCUCUUAGGUUUGCUCUCUUUCUUCUACUUCUUUGCAGGCUUUUCUUUUCUUUUCUUGAGACUUUCUCUUGGAAGAUACUCGCUCAACAGCAAGAAUAGAGCUCCUUGAACUUUUCAAGGUACCCUCAGUAGUGACUAGCAUGUUGACCAACUCAGAUAAAUUACAGUCUAAUUUAGUCAUAUGGUAGUAUAUGAUAAACUAUCUAAAUGAACUAGUCAGAGAUUGGAGGAUCAAAUCCAUCUUUAACUCCCUCUGUAUAUUAAGCCUGAGCUUCUCAAGCUCCUCAAGGUCCUUGAUCAUUGUCAUAC